Molecule: long non-coding RNA, 673 nt
Organism: Populus nigra (black poplar)
Lineage: Eukaryota; Viridiplantae; Streptophyta; Magnoliopsida; Malpighiales; Salicaceae
Exons: 2
Source: RefSeq, a predicted model, not a curated record
UUAAUUUAUUGACUUCCAAUGAAGAGUACAGCAAGAAAUAUUCACUUCUUUUUCUCCACCAGCUGGGAAUGGAACAUUUGUACAUCUAGGACUCAGCUUUGUGGGGGAAUCCAGGGUUCAGGCUUGAUUUGGCAGGCUCUAUAUGAAAUUUACACCUUCAUUCUAUGUUUGUUGUUCUUCAACUUGCUUCUCCUUAAGCUUAGUCCAGGGUAUCUAGGCUGUGACUACGCUGUUGAUUUUAUUUUCAUCCGAAAGACUUGUGGGCUUAAUGUUGCAUGUACAGAUAUAGGAAGCUCGUUGUGAUCAAGUGGAUAGAAAUGACAGCUGAAUCUGAUUAUAGGAACUGGUAUGGAACAUGAGCACAGCUUCUAGAGUCAACUAUUCUUUUCAAGUCAUGUAUUCUUCUGGUAGGUGAAGGAUUUAGUGAAGGACGAUAUGAUCAAGUUCACUGGGAAAGGGGGAAUUAAUGUUCUUUAGGGAGGGCUUAAUUAGGAUGCUGGAUUGGAAUAACUAUCAUGUUUCUGAAGACUAUAGCUAGAUAAUUGGAUGAGAGGUAGAAUUACAAUUGAAUUUUUCAGAAAAUCGUAUUUCCAUUGUGGUGAGCAACUGUCAGUUAUAGGAGGGUAGAGAUUCUUUCUUCCUUACAUGCAAAUAUCAUCAAUUUCCUCCUUCA